GAAUUCACUAGUGAUUCAGGCCUAACAGAUGCAAGGCGAACGAGAUUAUAGGGUAAGCUUGCUUACCUUAUAUGACAGUGGCGCACGGGUGAGUAACGCGUAUGCAAUCUACCUUAAUCAGGGGGAUAGCCUCUCGAAAGAGAGAUUAAUACCGCAUAACAUUAUGAUAUGCAUCAUAUUAUAAUCAAACAUUUAUGGGAUUAAGAUGAGCAUGCGUGACAUUAGCUAGUUGGUGAGGUAACGGCUCACCAAGGCAACGAUGUCUAGGGGAUAUGAGAGGAUGACCCCCCACUGUGGGAAUGAGACACGGACCAGACUCCUACGGGAGGCAGCAGUAAGGAAUAUUGGUCAAUGGACGCAAGUCUGAACCAGCCAUGCCGCGUGCAGGAAGACGGCCCUACGGGUAAAAGGUGCUUUAUACGGGAAUAAACCUUCUUUCGGAAAGAAG
RNAcentral lists this ribosomal RNA (448 nucleotides) under uncultured bacterium. RNAcentral describes it as "bacterial SSU rRNA". It matches the Rfam family "Bacterial small subunit ribosomal RNA", at positions 34 to 468 of the family's 1533-position model. The record is from RNAcentral.